AAAGGAAACAGUAUAUUGUAAGUGAAAUAUCCCGCUGCGCGGGAUGUGAAAUAUCGCAGCCGUGCACGGCUGCGAUGUGAUAGUUACU
This 88-nucleotide unclassified non-coding RNA is filed under the name Aristaeella lactis. Its description in RNAcentral is "Gut-1 RNA". Lineage: Bacteria; Bacillati; Bacillota; Clostridia; Eubacteriales; Aristaeellaceae. The record is from RNAcentral.